RNAcentral lists this ribosomal RNA (253 nucleotides) under uncultured bacterium. RNAcentral describes it as "partial 16S ribosomal RNA". It matches the Rfam family "Bacterial small subunit ribosomal RNA", at positions 524 to 776 of the family's 1533-position model. The record is from RNAcentral.
UACGUAGGGGGCAAGCGUUGUCCGGAUUUAUUGGGCGUAAAGAGCGUGUAGGCGGUUUGGUAGGUCCGCUGUGAAAACUCGAGGCUCAACCUCGAGACGCCGGUGGAAACCAUCAGACUAGAGUCCGGAAGAGGAGAGUGGAAUUCCUGGUGUAGCGGUGAAAUGCGCAGAUAUCAGGAAGAACACCCGUGGCUAAGGCGGCUCUCUGGAACGCAACUGACGCUGAGACGCGAAAGCGUGGGGAGCAAACAGG